GAUUUGCCAAAUUUGCACGCAAUAACUUUUUAUCUGUUGGUUCAGAAAUAGCUAUACUAGUUUUUUCCUCCGAAGGUUUUAGAGAAUGUGUAGGUAAAAAUGAGGUCAUAGAAAGUUGAAACACGUGCACGUUCAUGUCCUAUGCUUCCAAUGUAACGUUCCAUCAUAUAGCAGCUUAAGCAAUCAUGUGAUCCAAGGCUCCUAGGAGGCUCCUAUGCCCAAUGAAAUUGUCAGAUAAAGAUGAAAGCAAGCAUGACAAUGGUCCCCAAAGCUCACAAUCAUCAUAUAUGUCUACCAAGUAUCUCAAUUUGUCAAUUUGAUCAAGAUAAACCAAAGGGCUUGAGAAUUGUUUCCCAAGGAAACCCUAAUUCAACUGUGCAUUGAUUGUGCCUUGCUCAUGAAGCAACCUCAACCUAUGAUCAAAUAUAAUCAAGGAAA
Lathyrus oleraceus (garden pea) is the source of this 438-nucleotide long non-coding RNA. RefSeq lists it as uncharacterized. NCBI's taxonomy places the organism in Eukaryota, Viridiplantae, Streptophyta, Magnoliopsida, Fabales, Fabaceae. The transcript has 3 exons. The record is from RefSeq and is a predicted model, not a curated record.